This 2367-nucleotide long non-coding RNA is filed under the name Sus scrofa (pig). RNAcentral describes it as "lncRNA (ENSSSCG00000045906.1)". The record is from RNAcentral. Lineage: Eukaryota; Metazoa; Chordata; Mammalia; Artiodactyla; Suidae.
CAUAAGUUCCUUUAUUAAUAAAGCAAAGGAUGAAAGAACAAGGUCCCCCAAUGACCCAUAUGAUUAAAAAGUGCAAAUUUACUCCGACCUGAAAUAGAAAACAAAUGGCAGGCCUCGACUGUCUGGGCCAUGGACACCUGGUGUGAUUAAGACGCCUUUCAAUCACACGACGGUAGCAGCUAAAUCCCAUCUGAUUACUUCUUUGGUGUCCAUUAUUGGAACAGAACACAUGCUAUGAUCGCAGCCGACUGGCUGCAUCCUAUGACACAGGUUGGGGUCAGAAUACAUCCUAAAAAUAACAAUAAACUAAGAGGAAUGUUUUAAAGUCAAGUGACUGAAUCAAGGCACUUUUUUUUUUUUUUAAAGCAAAAGGUGCUAAAAAAUAUUCCUGAAUGUCUGAUACUUCCAAAACUGGGUUAUAUCUAACUUAGCUGCACGUUUUAGUCUAUUCUCUCUGUAUAAAGGAUCGCACAUAUCUCUGUCCACUCCCAACGUAUACGUGCUUUAUCGCCACCAAAUCAUGUGCUAUGUAGGUGUAAAAAAUAAAAUAAAAUAAAAUAAACCGUAGUGUCUAAGGAAGACAUGCAAUUUUUUAAAAAUUAACAAACGCCACAAAUGAUAACACUGAACUUUUUCCCCCAUUUUUCCCAUCACUUGGCGGAGGGAUAAUACUCUUCCUCUGUGUGGACAGGGUAAGUCAUUGUCAAGGUCAAAAGCCACAUUUUACAGAAAAAGUGACUUAACUCCAUGAAGUUAAAGGAGACAUUUUGGAGGCUGUUUAUUUAAUUCCUUCAGAAUGUGAGGAUGUUCAUUUUGGUGGGAGCCACGGAGUCAGAAAGGGAUGGAAAUAUUUGAUUAGAACAAUGCUCUUGGAGUUCCCGUUGUGGCUUAGUGGUAAUGAACCUGAUGAGUACCCAUGAGGAUGCUGGUUGGAUCCCUGGCCUCACUCAGUGGGUUGAGGAUCCAGCGUUGCCAUGAGCUGUGGUGUAGGUCACAGACACAGCUUGGAUCCCGCACUGCUGUGGCUGUGGCUCGGAUUCGACCCCUAGCCUGGGAACUUCCAAAUGAGUUCCCUCAAAACAGCUCAGAAAUGAAACAAGGCCCUAGUCACGUGGCUCCUUCUGUCUUCCAAGUUCUACUUUUUUUUGGUUUUGUUUUUGCUUUUUUUUUUCGGGCCACACCCGUGGCAUAUGGAGGUUCCCAGCCUAGGGGUCUAAUCGGAGCUACUGCUGUCAGCCUACACCACAGCCACAGCAACGCCAGAUCAUUAACCCACUGAGCCAGGCCAGGGAUCCAACCCACGUCCUCACGGUUCCUAGUCCUUCCCAAGUCCCACUUUUAAGAGUCUCUGUUAAAAAAAAAAAAAAUCCUAAAGUACAUCCCUGGGACUGGCUGCAUUUUCUAUACGGCAGAUGAUGGACCAUUCCACACGUCAACUGAAAAGCCGACUGAUGCCACUGAGAGCUGAAAUCUGCGAGGGAAGCAGGAGUUGCAGGAUGGGCUAGCUGCAAAAUACACUCACUCAGCCUGGUGCUAUUUAUGCCCAAAGAGCAGAAAGAACAGAGAGCGGACAAGGGCUGUCUCUCCCCAUCUCCCCCUCACUUGCCCUCCUCUGCUGUCUUUCUCCUCUGCCAACAGAUGGAAAACAACGGAUCUUCCAGCAUGAAGCCCAAGACACCGAAUGUUAAGUUAAAGGCUUUGCAAGACCUGGGCUGAACCGACCGCUCCUCAAAGCUGGCCUUGGGGCCACUUAAAGGCCACCUGGGCCACGGGAGCCAAAGUUCCCAAGCAGGAAGGAUCGCUGAGCAAGGGCUGAGAGCUCAAAGGCAAGCCCGGCACCAGGGCAGGCAUUUCCCUUUCAUGAUCUCAUUAAACUCAGAAAGAGAUCUCCGUGCAAAGGAGCUUGCUAAAAAGACUUUUAAAAAAAAGUUUCUGUCUCCAGCCAGCAACAAGCCCUGGCGAGACACCUCGCUGGGCAAAGAGGGAAAUACAACUUUCUCGAGACCCAACACGUUUUAGGCCCUCACCGGUGUUGCCUGGAACAUGUGUUCUGCUGCCACUCUGCAACCGCGCCUGGCGCACAGCAGGCGUUCAACGAAUGGGUGCUGACUGGUGCACAUCUCAGCCUGUGCCCUCAGGGAAGCCAGCUCUUCAAGACUGCAAAUUUCGGAGUUCCCGUCAUGGUGCAGCGGAAAUGAAUCCAACUAGAAAGCAUGAGGUUUCUGGUUCGAGCCCUGGCCCCACUCAGUGGGUUAAGGAUCCGGUGUUGCCGUGAGCUGUGGUGUAGGUCACAGAUGCGGCUCGGAUCCCGAGUUGCUGUGGCUGUGGUGUAAGCCGGCAGCUGUAGCUCCAAUUCGACCCCUAGCC